RNAcentral lists this long non-coding RNA (920 nucleotides) under Cyanistes caeruleus (blue tit). RNAcentral's name for it is "lncRNA (ENSCCEG00000022281.1)". The record is from RNAcentral. Lineage: Eukaryota; Metazoa; Chordata; Aves; Passeriformes; Paridae.
UGGCUAGUCUCUAUUAUCAAGAUGCUUUCCUUUAAACUCCCUUUUAAUGAGUAAUGUCUUCAAAAUCAUUAUUGCCAAUAUAUACACAUAUAUUUUCAAUGGGUUAUGGCCUCUUUCUUGCAAAAAAUGCAGUCCUGCUCUGUGCAGCAAUCGUCAGGCUUGCUCUAAUCCAUAAAUAUGAAAUUAAGUUCAAUAAUUUGUUUUAUGCAGGACCUAUACCUAUUAUUGCUCUUGGUUUUAUUGCAGUAAUGCUGCCUUUCAGCACUUAUCGAGCAUGGGUCUUCAUGGUUCUGCUCCUGCUUUGUAGCGUCCAUUCACUUCUUGCAGUACCAAUUCAGCCUGGUUCAGAACAGAGUGCAGAGGCAAGCAGCAAACCUAACAUGACAGUGAAGGGUGUAUUUGAAUCUUUCUUAAGCUUCUUCAGACCAAUGACUUGCCGCCUCAGCAAUGAGCGACUUUUAACUCCUUGUCCUUUAGAAGGCCUGAACAUGUCUGAAUGCUCAAAAAUUUACUGCUGUCCUUUCAAAAUUGGCCAGGAUGAGCAGUGCUACAUGCCAGUGAGAGAUGAUGUGCAGCUGGCCAUUCGAGUGAUUUUGCUUACCGGAGGAGGAUUUUUGAUUUUGGGAUUGCUACCAAUCUGUUGCUGUGCCUUUUUACAGAGAAGGGUGGUUCAUCAAGUCACAAAAAAGCAGACGGUGUACAAUAGAGAAAUGGUCACUCAGUAAAAAAGACAACAUAAUACAGCAUAUGAUGACAAGGCUUUAGAAGACUUACAAGAUAUACAAACCAUUGCUUAUGGCUUUAGCUCUGCUCUCUCUCCUAUUGAGCUGAUAGAGAGUGAAACAAAAAAUCUCUCAGUGGAACAUCCUUCUUUAUCUUCACAAAGAUUAAAUAAAUACAAGGCUAAACAACUUGGCCCA